GUUGUUUGUUUAGAGGAUAUCAAAAAGGACACAAGUAAAGCAUGCUCCGAUACGAUACAGGUUAGUCUGUGUUAGAAGCUGGUACUUUUAAAGUUCUUGGUUAGGAGUUAGUGAUGGCUAUAUAGGACUUAGUUUAGUAAGGGGUUGGCAGUCAAGGGUUAGUUACUAUUACCUUCAGAAAGCAGUUUUGCUAAACACCAAGAAGUAAACAA
Non-coding RNA from Ciona intestinalis (vase tunicate), 212 nucleotides. The record is from RefSeq and is a predicted model, not a curated record. NCBI's taxonomy places the organism in Eukaryota, Metazoa, Chordata, Ascidiacea, Phlebobranchia, Cionidae.